RNAcentral lists this ribosomal RNA (496 nucleotides) under uncultured bacterium. RNAcentral's name for it is "partial 16S ribosomal RNA". It matches the Rfam family "Bacterial small subunit ribosomal RNA", at positions 29 to 506 of the family's 1533-position model. The record is from RNAcentral.
UAUGAACGCUGGCGGCGUGCCUAAUACAUGCAAGUCGAGCGAACGGACGAGAGGCUUGCUUUUCUGAUGUUAGCGGCGGACGGGUGAGUAACACGUGGAUAACCUACCUAUAAGACUGGGAUAACUUCGGGAAACCGGAGCUAAUACCGGAUAAUAUUUUGAACCGCAUGGUUCAUAAGUGAAAGACGGUCUUGCUGUCACUUAUAGAUGGAUCCGCGCUGCAUUAGCUAGUUGGUAAGGUAACGGCUUACCAAGGCAACGAUGCAUAGCCGACCUGAGAGGGUGUCCGGCCAAACGGGACUUGAGCACGGGUCCAACCCCAACGGGGGGGCAGGAGUGGGGAAUCUUCGGAAAUGGGCAAAAGCCUGAGGGGAAACGCCCGGGUGGGUAUUGAAGUGUUCUGGACUGAAAACCCCUUUUAUUAGGAAAAAACAUUUGGGAAAGUAACGGUCACAAUUUGGCGGGACCUAAUCAGAAAAGCACCGGCAAAUACCGU